GCUGCGUGUGGUGCUGUGCACCUGUAAUCCCAGCUAUCUGGGAGGCUGAGGCAGGAGGAUCCCAAGUUUAAGGCCAGCCUGGGCAACUUGUGAGACCCUGUCUCAA
RNAcentral lists this small RNA (106 nucleotides) under Marmota monax (woodchuck). The record is from RNAcentral. Lineage: Eukaryota; Metazoa; Chordata; Mammalia; Rodentia; Sciuridae.